UACGUAGGGGCAAGCGUUAUCCGGAUUUACUGGGUGUAAAGGGAGCGCAGACGGAACUGCAAGUCUGAUGUGAAAGCCCGGGGCUCAACCGCGGGACUGCAUCGGAUACUGUAGAUCUGGAGUGCCGGAGGGGCAAGCGGAAUUCCUGGUGUAGCGGUGAAAUGCGUAGAUAUCAGGAGGAACGCCGGCGGCGAAGGCGGCUUGCUGGACGGCAACUGACGUUGAGGCUCGAAAGCGUGGGGAGCAAACAGGAUUAGAUACCCU
Molecule: ribosomal RNA, 264 nt
Filed under: uncultured prokaryote
Description: partial 16S ribosomal RNA
Rfam family: Bacterial small subunit ribosomal RNA
Source: RNAcentral